RNAcentral lists this ribosomal RNA (813 nucleotides) under uncultured Paracoccaceae bacterium. RNAcentral describes it as "bacterial SSU rRNA". It matches the Rfam family "Bacterial small subunit ribosomal RNA", at positions 8 to 870 of the family's 1533-position model. The record is from RNAcentral. Lineage: Bacteria; Pseudomonadati; Pseudomonadota; Alphaproteobacteria; Rhodobacterales; Paracoccaceae.
AGAGUUUGAUCCUGGCUCAGAACGAACGCUGGCGGCGGGCCUAACACAUGCAAGUCGAGCGCGCCUUCGGGUGAGCGGCGGACGGGUUAGUAACGCGUGGGAACGUGCCCUUCUCUACGGAAUAGCCUCUGGAAACGGAGAGUAAUACCGUAUACGCCCUUUGGGGGAAAGAUUUAUCGGAGAAGGAUCGGCCCGCGUUAGAUUAGAUAGUUGGUGGGGUAACGGCCUACCAAGCCUACGAUCUAUAGCUGGUUUUAGAGGAUGAUCAGCAACACUGGGACUGAGACACGGCCCAGACUCCUACGGGAGGCAGCAGUGGGGAAUCUUAGACAAUGGGGGCAACCCUGAUCUAGCCAUGCCGCGUGAGUGAUGAAGGCCUUAGGGUCGUAAAGCUCUUUCGCCUGUGAUGAUAAUGACAGUAGCAGGUAAAGAAACCCCGGCUAACUCCGUGCCAGCAGCCGCGGUAAUACGGAGGGGGUUAGCGUUGUUCGGAAUUACUGGGCGUAAAGCGCGCGUAGGCGGAUUAGAAAGUUGGGGGUGAAAUCCCGGGGCUCAACCUCGGAACUGCCUCCAAAACUGCUAGUCUAGAGUUCGAGAGAGGUGAGUGGAAUUCCGAGUGUAGAGGUGAAAUUCGUAGAUAUUCGGAGGAACACCAGUGGCGAAGGCGGCUCACUGGCUCGAUACUGACGCUGAGGUGCGAAAGUGUGGGGAGCAAACAGGAUUAGAUACCCUGGUAGUCCACACCGUAAACGAUGAAUGCCAGUCGUCGGGUAGUAUACUAUUCGGUGACACACCUAACGGAUUAAGCAUUCC